AAUUCAUAAAUUCCCCAAAUGGGCGCUUGAACCCUAAAUUCCCCAUCGACGCUCGCUCACUCGAUUGAAGACCUCACGCUCGAAUUCAGGCCUCACUCUUGAAUCGGCUGCAGUCCAUGGCGUCAUCCGCGAGCUUCUCGGCUAGCUCCUCCACAUGACGCAGGUCCUAUUCUAGUGGUAUGGUUGCGGUGACACUGUCGCCGGUGCCAUAUCAUGAGGGUCCGUUGCAGUACAAGUUAGUGUUGUGCGGAUGCGGAGUGAAAGCCCGUCGGCAGAUUACCUGAAGCCUGUUGAAUCCAGGGAGGAGGUACCAGGAUAUCAAAGGGUCUGGACUGUUGGUGAAUCGUGGCAUUACGUUGCUGAAUCGUCUGAAAAAAGAGAAUAUGUAAUUGAAGAAUCUCGCUCUAGGCUGAAGCUUGCAUGGCGAAGGUAGUUGACUAGAGAUGGGCAUGAGGUUGUUUGUGAAUGAGAUGCAAUUCAAGCACGCAGCACGGCAGCGGUAGUAGAAUUAGGUCCUUAAGUAGUAGAAGACUUGCAGAUAAAAUUAGCAAGAUUUAGACGUGAGUAGUGCCUGUUGUAAUUCACAUGAGUAGUGCUUCAUGCUGAGAAUUUAUAAGAAAAUGUCUGUAGGAUGUUCAGAAGAUUGAAUUUUUCAGAAAAAAAAUUCCUCAGCGUAAGCACACAAUUCUGCAUAACUGAGCAUAAACACCUCUGCCUCUAGUUCUCCUGAGUAGUCAACCUGUCCAUUUUUCCUCUCAAAUGAGCCGGCUUAAUGAUAUCUGGUCAACAAGUAA
Molecule: non-coding RNA, 794 nt
Organism: Triticum urartu
Lineage: Eukaryota; Viridiplantae; Streptophyta; Magnoliopsida; Poales; Poaceae
Source: RefSeq, a predicted model, not a curated record